GGAAGGUGCAAGCGUUAAUCGGAAUUACUGGGCGUAAAGCGCGCGUAGGCGGUUAGAUAAGUCGGGUGUGAAAGCCCCGGGCUCAACCUGGGAACUGCAUUCGAUACUGUCUGGCUAGAGUGUGAUAGAGGGAGGCGGAAUUCCGCAUGUAGCGGUGAAAUGCGUAGAGAUGCGGAGGAACACCAAUGGCGAAGGCAGCCUCCUGGAUUAACACUGACGCUGAGGUGCGAAAGCGUGGGGGGAGCAAACAGGAUUAGAUACCCUGGUAGUCCACGCCGUAAACGAUGUCAACUAGCCGUUGGGAGCAAUUUGGCUCUUGGUGGCGUAGCUAACGCGAUAAGUUGACCGCCUGGGGAGUACGGUCGCAAGAUUAA
RNAcentral lists this ribosomal RNA (374 nucleotides) under uncultured organism. RNAcentral describes it as "partial 16S ribosomal RNA". It matches the Rfam family "Bacterial small subunit ribosomal RNA", at positions 527 to 897 of the family's 1533-position model. The record is from RNAcentral.